UCGAGCGAGUCUGCCUUGAAGAUCGGAGUGCUUGCACUCUGUGAAACAAGAUACAGGCUAGCGGCGGACGGGUGAGUAACACGUGGGUAACCUGCCCAAGAGAUCGGGAUAACACCUGGAAACAGAUGCUAAUACCGGAUAACAACAGAUGAUGCCUAUCAACUGUUUAAAAGAUGGUUCUGCUAUCACUCUUGGAUGGACCUGCGGUGCAUUAGCUAGUUGGUAGGGUAACGGCCUACCAAGGCGAUGAUGCAUAGCCGAGUUGAGAGACUGAUCGGCCACAUUGGGACUGAGACACGGCCCAAACUCCUACGGGAGGCAGCAGUAGGGAAUCUUCCACAAUGGACGCAAGUCUGAUGGAGCAACGCCGCGUGAGUGAAGAAGGGUUUCGGCUCGUAAAGCUCUGUUGUUGGUGAAGAAGGACGGGGGUAGUAACUGUCCUUUGUUUGACGGUAAUCAAUUAGAAAGUCACGGCUAACUACGUGCCAGCAGCCGCGGUAAUACGUAGGUGGCAAGCGUUGUCCGGAUUUAUUGGGCGUAAAGCGAGUGCAGGCGGUUCGAUAAGUCUGAUGUGAAAGCCUUCGGCUCAACCGGAGAAUUGCAUCAGAAACUGUCGAGCUUGAGUACAGAAGAGGGGAGUGGAACUCCAUGUGUAGCGGUGAAAUGCGUAGAUAUAUGGAAGAACACCGGUGGCGAAAGCGGCUCUCUGGUCUGUUACUGACGCUGAGGCUCGAAAGCAUGGGUAGC
RNAcentral lists this ribosomal RNA (747 nucleotides) under uncultured bacterium. Its description in RNAcentral is "bacterial SSU rRNA". It matches the Rfam family "Bacterial small subunit ribosomal RNA", at positions 62 to 769 of the family's 1533-position model. The record is from RNAcentral.